GGUCCAUGUGAACAGCAGUUGGACAUGGGUCAGUCGAUCCUAAGAAAACGGCGAAAGCUUGUUCGAAUUUGCGACAUGAAUUGUAAGACUGUGUGUGAAUUGGGUGUGCAGUUGUCGUAUGUUUUCG
Molecule: ribosomal RNA, 127 nt
Filed under: Trichinella patagoniensis
Lineage: Eukaryota; Metazoa; Nematoda; Enoplea; Trichinellida; Trichinellidae
Description: partial large subunit ribosomal RNA
Source: RNAcentral